AUAUGGUAAAAGGGUCUAUCUUGAAAAACACUGUUCGGGGAAAAACGGAGAAAAAUGGGUUUAAAGUUCAAACUUGUGAGCUUUUUUUAUUUGAGGGAUAAAUUGUGUGAUACUUUGUAUGGCAAUAAAGUGUAUAAAAAACUGAUAAUUUAAUUUUUAAAACCCUUAUUUCAUCUAUUUAUUUCAAAAUUAAUACCACAUUUACGUAGUUAGACGGUUUUACCGUACGGGGCUAUUGAUAUGCAAAAGGGAGUUAAUACGGCAAAACGGUCUAUCUUCGAGAUAGACCGUUUUACCAUAUUAAAUCAAAUGGAUGAUUUGUUAAAAGGGUCUAUCUCAAAGAUAGACCGUUUUACCGUAUUUAUCAAAUGCUAGAUGACUCAGUAAAAAUAAAAUGUGGAAAUGCAUGGUAUUUUACCACAUGAACCUCCACAAGCUGGAUAAUCCAGCAAAACAGUUAGUUCUUCUAAUCUGUCGCCGUCCUUGGUUUAUGAAAGUUCAUAACAUUUCUUGGGGUACUGGGGAAAAAUGAUUUGCUAUAUUGCUUUUAUAUUGAUAUUGGACACCAGCUGGUCAGUUCUAUACGGCAGGCUAAGGCCUAGUCCCUACCGCAGCGGCGGCUGGCGCGCGAAGUGUACGUCAGCCGUCGAUACAGUAGAUCUAAAUGAUCUAGCAGCUGCCUUGGUCUCGGAAUUAGGAUGAAUUAAUUAGUGUCAUUGUAUUCUGCCUUCUUUCUUCCUUACCUGUGAUUUUUUUUUCUUACGACAACCCCAGCAAUAUCCUCCCUCUAGAUGGAGGGAGGCAGCUCAGCCUCCCAACUUUCUUACGAUCCAUUGUUAUCCUCCAGGCCGGCUCGGAUGGCCUGAAUAUGCGAUGCGCGUGCGCGCUAUGCGGCGACGUACUGUCUAAGAAAAAAGUUAAGAGUUGCCGUCAUCGGGCAGUUAAUAUGGUAAAACGGUCUAUCUUUGACAUAGCAAAGAGUGGGGGUUCAUUUUUUUUUCGGAAAAACGGUCUAACUUGAAGUUAACCGUUUUUCCCGUUGAAAUAACGAAAGAUUAACAGUACAAUUUGCAUGGUAAAGCAGUCUAAGUCAGAGAUAGACCAGUUUUCCAUGGAAGCCUUCGGUUACAAGUCGGCUAUGUGCGAGAUAGACGGUUUUACCAUAAAAAUUGGACCAAAAUUUAAGAAAUUAACCUAGAUAGCCGAUGCUAUCUCGAAAGCUACG
Long non-coding RNA from Lytechinus variegatus (green sea urchin), 1225 nucleotides. RefSeq lists it as uncharacterized. The transcript has 2 exons. NCBI's taxonomy places the organism in Eukaryota, Metazoa, Echinodermata, Echinoidea, Temnopleuroida, Toxopneustidae. The record is from RefSeq and is a predicted model, not a curated record.